UGGGGAAUAUUGCACAAUGGGGGAAACCCUGAUGCAGCGACGCCGCGUGAAGGAAGAAGUAUUUCGGUAUGUAAACUUCUAUCAGCAGGGAAGAAAAUGACGGUACCUGAGUAAGAAGCCCCGGCUAACUACGUGCCAGCAGCCGCGGUAAUACGUAGGGGGCAAGCGUUAUCCGGAUUUACUGGGUGUAAAGGGAGCGUAGACGGUAAUGUAAGUCUGAUGUGAAAGCCCGGGGCUCAACCCCGGGACUGCAUUGGAAACUAUGUAACUAGAGUACCGGAGAGGUAAGCGGAAUUCCUAGUG
This 303-nucleotide ribosomal RNA is filed under the name uncultured bacterium. Its description in RNAcentral is "bacterial SSU rRNA". It matches the Rfam family "Bacterial small subunit ribosomal RNA", at positions 355 to 675 of the family's 1533-position model. The record is from RNAcentral.